AGCAGUCGCCGCGGUAAUACGGAGGGUGCAAGCGUUAAUCGGAAUUACUGGGCGUAAAGCGCACGCAGGCGGUCUGACAAGUCAGAUGUGAAAUCCCCGGGCUUAACCUGGGAACUGCAUUUGAAACUGUCAGGCUGGAGUCUUGUAGAGGGGGGUAGAAUUCCAGGUGUAGCGGUGAAAUGCGUAGAGAUCUGGAGGAAUACCGGUGGCGAAGGCGGCCCCCUGGACAAAGACUGACGCUCAGGUGCGAAAGCGUGGGGAGCAAACAGGAUUAGAUACCCGGGUAGUCCCUGUCUCUUAUAA
RNAcentral lists this ribosomal RNA (303 nucleotides) under uncultured bacterium. Its description in RNAcentral is "partial 16S ribosomal RNA". It matches the Rfam family "Bacterial small subunit ribosomal RNA", at positions 507 to 809 of the family's 1533-position model. The record is from RNAcentral.